Molecule: ribosomal RNA, 492 nt
Filed under: uncultured bacterium
Lineage: Bacteria
Description: partial 16S ribosomal RNA
Rfam family: Bacterial small subunit ribosomal RNA
Source: RNAcentral
AGUGAACGCUGGCGGUAGGCCUAACACAUGCAAGUCGAACGGCAGCACAGUAAGAGCUUGCUCUUACGGGUGGCGAGUGGCGGACGGGUGAGGAAUACAUCGGAAUCUACUUUUUCGUGGGGGAUAACGUAGGGAAUCUUACGCUAAUACCGCAUACGACCUACGGGUGAAAGCAGGGGUUCUUCGGACCUUGCGCGAUUGAUUGAGCCGAUGUCGGAUUAGCUAGUUGGCGGGGUAAAGGCCCACCAAGGCGACGAUCCGUAGCUGGUAUGAGAGGAUGAUCAGCCGCACUGGAACAGAGACAGGGUGGAGACACCGAGGGGAGGAAGCAGUGGAGAAUAUUGGACAAGGGGGGCAAGGCGGAUACAGCAAUACGGAGUAGGUGAAGAAGGAGUUCGGGUUGGAAAGCGCUGUUGUUGGGAAAGAAAAGCAGCAGGAUAAGACGCCGAUGUUCUGACGGUACCCAAAGAAUAAGCACCGGCUAACUACGUG